UAACCUAAAGAAGUUGGACUUCCAUGAAAUC
This 31-nucleotide non-coding RNA is filed under the name Mus musculus (house mouse). The record is from RNAcentral. Lineage: Eukaryota; Metazoa; Chordata; Mammalia; Rodentia; Muridae.